UGGGCAGGUUGAAGGUUGGGUAACACUAACUGGAGGACCGAACCGACUAAUGUUGAAAAAUUAGCGGAUGACCUGUGGCUGGGGGUGAAAGGCCAAUCAAACCGGGAGAUAGCUGGUUCUCCCCGAAAGCUAUUUAGGUAGCGCCUCGUGAAUUCAUCUCCGGGGGUAGAGCACUGUUUCGGCUAGGGGGCCAUCCCGGCUUACCAACCCGAUGCAAACUGCGAAUACCGGAGAAUGUUAUCACGGGAGACACACGGCGGGUGCUAACGUCCGUCGUGAAGAGGGAAACAACCCAGACCGCCAGCUAAGGUCCCAAAGUCAUGGUUAAGUGGGAAACGAUGUGGGAAGGCCCAGACAGCCAGGAUGUUGGCUUAGAAGCAGCCAUCAUUUAAAGAAAGCGUAAUAGCUCACUGGUCGAGUCGGCCUGCGCGGAAGAUGUAACGGGGCUAAACCAUGCACCGAAGCUGCGGCAGCGACACUGUGUGUUGUUGGGUAGGGGAGCGUUCUGUAAGCCUGUGAAGGUGUGUCGUGAGGCAUGCUGGAGGUAUCAGAAGUGCGAAUGCUGACAUAAGUAACGAUAAAGCGGGUGAAAAGCCCGCUCGCCGGAAGACCAAGGGUUCCUGUCCAACGUUAAUCGGGGCAGGGUGAGUCGACCCCUAAGGCGAGGCCGAAAGGCGUAGUCGAUGGGAAACGGGUUAAUAUUCCCGUACUUGGUGUUACUGCGAAGGGGGGACGGAGAAGGCUAUGUUGGCCGGG
RNAcentral lists this ribosomal RNA (756 nucleotides) under Salmonella enterica subsp. enterica serovar Enteritidis. Its description in RNAcentral is "partial 23S ribosomal RNA". It matches the Rfam family "Bacterial large subunit ribosomal RNA", at positions 737 to 1495 of the family's 2925-position model. Lineage: Bacteria; Pseudomonadati; Pseudomonadota; Gammaproteobacteria; Enterobacterales; Enterobacteriaceae. The record is from RNAcentral.